Molecule: long non-coding RNA, 359 nt
Filed under: Hordeum vulgare
Lineage: Eukaryota; Viridiplantae; Streptophyta; Magnoliopsida; Poales; Poaceae
Description: long non-coding RNA (HVUL_LNC019070)
Source: RNAcentral
UCUCAUCCUAGCUCGAGCGGGAGGUGGAAGACUACCCGGUGGCCGGGUCCCACGCGUUAGGGAGCCAAGGACAGGCCCCUCCAUUUAAUUGGAGGCGCUUCCCCUCUGUUCCGCCUUCACCACAAGAAAGUGUAUUCCAGGCAAUACACUUCUGUCGUGGCCUUUCGCACUCAGGCUACACUACUGGGUCGGUCCAUUUGCUAUCCUGUGCCCCGGUGCAGUAUAGUCUUUGGUACUCCCCGUGCCUUUUUCUUUUUUCCGAUAAAUACUAUUUAAUCCUUAAAAAAUCAUAUGGGCUCCAAAUUUAGUGAUCCAAAUUCCAAGGAACUCCUAAAAUCUUUUCCAAUCCAGAUAUGUGC